RNAcentral lists this ribosomal RNA (497 nucleotides) under uncultured bacterium. RNAcentral's name for it is "partial 16S ribosomal RNA". It matches the Rfam family "Bacterial small subunit ribosomal RNA", at positions 28 to 507 of the family's 1533-position model. The record is from RNAcentral.
GAUGAACGCUGGCGUCGUGCCUAAUACAUGCAAGUCGAGCGAACAGACGAGGAGCUUGCUCCUUCGACGUUAGCGGCGGACGGGUGAGUAACACGUAGGUAACCUACCUAUAAGACUGGGAUAACUUCGGGAAACCGGAGCUAAUACCGGAUAAUAUUUCGAACCGCAUGGUUCGAUAGUGAAAGAUGGCUUUGCUAUCACUUAUAGAUGGACCUGCGCCGUAUUAGCUAGUUGGUAAGGUAACGGCUUACCAAGGCAACGAUACGUAGCCGACCUGAGAGGGUGAUCGGCCACACUGGAACUGAGACACGGUCCAGACUCCUACGGGAGGCAGCAGUAGGGAAUCUUCCGCAAUGGGCGAAAGCCUGACGGAGCAACGCCGCGUGAGUGAUGAAGGUCUUCGGAUCGUAAAACUCUGUUAUUAGGGAAGAACAAACGUGUAAGUAACUGUGCACGUCUUGACGGUACCUAAUCAGAAAGCCACGGCUAACUACGUG